CAAUAAGCGGAGGAAAAGAAACCAACAGGGAUUGCCCUAGUAACGGCGAGUGAAGCGGCAACAGCUCAAAUUUGAAAUCUGGCUACAUUCCGUGGUCCGAGUUGUAAUUUGUAGAGGAUGCUUUUGGUGAGGUGCCUUCCGAGUUCCCUGGAACGGGACGCCAUAGAGGGUGAGAGCCCCGUACGGUUGGACACCAAGCCUCUGUAUAGCUCCUUCAACGAGUCGAGUAGUUUGGGAAUGCUGCUCUAAAUGGGAGGUAUAUCUCUUCUAAAGCUAAAUAUAGGCUAGAGACCGAUAGCGCACAAGUAGAGUGAUCGAAAGAUGAAAAGCACUUUGAAAAGAGAGUUAAACAGCACGUGAAAUUGUUGAAAGGGAAGCGCCUAUGACCAGACUUGUUUCUGGCAGUUUCGUUAGCCCUCGGGCUGAUUUACUCUGUCCAGUACAGGCCAGCAUCAGUUUGCUGUCGGGGAGAAAGGCUCUGGGAACGUAGCUCCCUCCUUCGGGGGGGAGUGUUAUAGCCCUCUGCACAAUACCCUUCGGCAGACUGAGGACCGCGCUUCGGCAAGGAUGCUGGCGUAAUGG
RNAcentral lists this ribosomal RNA (582 nucleotides) under Ceratocystis smalleyi. RNAcentral's name for it is "eukaryotic LSU rRNA". It matches the Rfam family "Eukaryotic large subunit ribosomal RNA", at positions 44 to 637 of the family's 3401-position model. The record is from RNAcentral. Lineage: Eukaryota; Fungi; Ascomycota; Sordariomycetes; Microascales; Ceratocystidaceae.